ACCUCGAUGGCGAAAUAGGUAGACGCUGUGGACUUAAAAUCCGCUGUUCCGAAUGGAACUUGGGGGUUCGAUUCCCCUUCGAGGUA
RNAcentral lists this transfer RNA (86 nucleotides) under Caudoviricetes sp. RNAcentral's name for it is "tRNA-Leu". It matches the Rfam family "tRNA". Rfam says of the family: Transfer RNA (tRNA) molecules are approximately 80 nucleotides in length. Their secondary structure includes four short double-helical elements and three loops (D, anti-codon, and T loops). Lineage: Duplodnaviria; Heunggongvirae; Uroviricota; Caudoviricetes. The record is from RNAcentral.